This 584-nucleotide ribosomal RNA is filed under the name Amazonspinther dalmata. RNAcentral describes it as "partial 16S ribosomal RNA". It matches the Rfam family "Bacterial large subunit ribosomal RNA", at positions 1810 to 2607 of the family's 2925-position model. The record is from RNAcentral. Lineage: Eukaryota; Metazoa; Chordata; Actinopteri; Characiformes; Spintherobolidae.
AAAACAUCGCCUCCUGCAAAAUCAAAGUAUAAGAGGUCCUACCUGCCCAGUGACUAAGUUUAACGGCCGCGGUAUCUUGACCGUGCUAAGGUAGCGCAAUCACUUGUCUUUUAAAUGAAGACCUGUAUGAAUGGUGAAACGAGGGCUUAACUGUCUCCCCUUUCAAGUCAGUGAAAUUGAUCUGUCCGUGCAGAAGCGGACAUGAAUAUACAAGACGAGAAGACCCUUUGGAGCUUAAGAUAUAAAAUCAACUACACUAAGAACUACAACAAAAAAACUUAAAUUUAGUAAUACUGGUUUACAUCUUCGGUUGGGGCGACCACGGGGGAAAAAUAAGCCCCCACGCAGAAUGGGUAAAACCUAAAACCAAGAGGGACACCUCUAAGCCACAGAACCUCUGACUAUAAGAUCCGGCAAAUAGCCGAUCAACGGACCAAGUUACCCUAGGGAUAACAGCGCAAUCCCCUUCAAGAGUUCCUAUCGACAAGGGGGUUUACGACCUCGAUGUUGGAUCAGGACAUCCUAAUGGUGCAGCCGCUAUUAAGGGUUCGUUUGGGUUAUUGGAUCAAGUGCUGUCUCUCCUG